AGGGUCUGUGUCGCUGGUGGUCCGCGCUCGACAAGCGCGGGGAAAGAGGGAACCCGGUGAGAAUCCGGGACUGCCCCGCAGCGGUGAAUGGGAACGAAACCCGUCAAAAGCACUGGGUACACACCUGGGAAGCGACGGGCAGUAGGCGGCAACAGGCACAGCCCCAGCCACGCCCAUGAGUCCGAAGACCUGCCUCCGGUGCGUACGGCGA
This 211-nucleotide non-coding RNA is filed under the name Austwickia chelonae. Lineage: Bacteria; Bacillati; Actinomycetota; Actinomycetes; Micrococcales; Dermatophilaceae. RNAcentral also lists the same sequence under 1 other name. The record is from RNAcentral.